This 741-nucleotide ribosomal RNA is filed under the name uncultured cyanobacterium. RNAcentral's name for it is "bacterial SSU rRNA". It matches the Rfam family "Bacterial small subunit ribosomal RNA", at positions 8 to 796 of the family's 1533-position model. Lineage: Bacteria; Bacillati; Cyanobacteriota. The record is from RNAcentral.
AGAGUUUGAUCCUGGCUCAGGAUGAACGCUGGCGGUCUGCUUAACACAUGCAAGUCGAACGGAGUAGAAAUACUUAGUGGCGGACGGGUGAGUAACGCGUGAGAAUCUGCCUUCAGGACGGAGACAACAGUUGGAAACGACUGCUAAGCCCCGAUGUACCGAAAGGGAAAAUAUUUAUAGCCUGAAGAUGGGCUCGCGUCCGAUUAGCUAGUUGGCGGAGUAAAAGCCCACCAAGGCGACGAUCGGUAGCUGGUCUGAGAGGACGAUCAGCCACACUGGGACUGAGACACGGCCCAGACUCCUACGGGAGGCAGCAGUGGGGAAUCUUCCGCAAUGGGCGCAAGCCUGACGGAGCAACGCCGCGUGGAGGACGACGGCCUUCGGGUUGUAAACUCCUUUUCUGGGGGAUGACAUGGACAGUACCCCAGGAAUCAGCCCCGGCUAACUCUGUGCCAGCAGCCGCGGUAAGACAGAGGGGGCAAGCGUUGUCCGGAUUAACUGGGCGUACAGCGCGCGCAGGUGGGUCGGUUAGUCACCUGUGACAUUGUUCGGCUCAACCGAACAGGGUCAGGUGAGACUGCCAGCCUGGAGGGAUGGAGAGGGACGUGGAAUACCCGGUGGAGCGGUGAAAUGCGUAGAGAUCGGGUGGAACACCAGCGGUGAAGACGGCGUCCUGGCCAUUACCUGACACUGAGGCGCGACAGCGUGGGGAGCAAACGGGAUUAGAUACCCCAGUAGUCC